CAUCAACGCCGGUUACUACGACAACCGUUACUGGGUUAUGUGGAAGCUCCCCAUGUACGGCUGCCAAAACCCGGAUGAAGUCAUUGCGGAAAUCAACACCUGCAUCAAGUGCUUCCCGGAUUGCUACGUCCGCGUCGCUGGCUUCGACAACAUCAAGCAAGUGCAAUGCUCCGCGUUCUUGGCUCACCGCCCGGCGUCCGAAGCUGCGUGCGCCGUUGACCAGCGCCAAGUCCAAGGGUAAACGUCUCGACGUUUCCUGCGAACGCCCGCGCGCGUCUGUAGACGCGCGCUGCCGCGGACUCACGCUCGUGUAGAGAUGU
Molecule: long non-coding RNA, 320 nt
Filed under: Ostreococcus sp. 'lucimarinus'
Lineage: Eukaryota; Viridiplantae; Chlorophyta; Mamiellophyceae; Mamiellales; Bathycoccaceae
Description: long non-coding RNA (OLUC_LNC000052)
Source: RNAcentral